GAUGAACGCUGGCGGCGUGCCUAACACAUGCAAGUCGAACGAGCCUUCGGGCGAGUGGCGAACGGGUGAGUAGUACAUAGGUAACUUGCCCCCUAAGACUGGGGGAUAACUACCCGAAAAGGGUGGCUAAUACCGGAUACUCUCGGUUGAUCACAAGAUCUACCGAGGAAAGUUUUUUCGCUUAGGGAUAGGCCUAUGCCUGAUUAGUUAGUUGGUGGGGUAACGGCCUACCAAGACGACGAUCAGUAGCUGGUCUGAGAGGACGGUCAGCCACACUGGGACUGAGACACGGCCCAGACUCCUACGGGAGGCAGCAGUGGGGAAUAUUGCGCAAUGGGCGAAAGCCUGACGCAGCGACGCCGCGUGAGCGAUGACGCCUUUCGGGGUGUAAAGCUCUUUCAGUGGGAAAGAUAAUGACGGUACCCACAGAAGAAGUCACGGCUAAUUACGUG
Molecule: ribosomal RNA, 452 nt
Filed under: uncultured bacterium
Lineage: Bacteria
Description: bacterial SSU rRNA
Rfam family: Bacterial small subunit ribosomal RNA
Source: RNAcentral